Molecule: ribosomal RNA, 253 nt
Filed under: uncultured bacterium
Lineage: Bacteria
Description: partial 16S ribosomal RNA
Rfam family: Bacterial small subunit ribosomal RNA
Source: RNAcentral
UACGUAGGAGGCGAGCGUUGUCCGGAAUCACUGGGUGUAAAGCGCGUGUAGGCGGCCUGCCAAGUCUGCUGUGAAAGCGCCUGGCUUAACCGGGCGAGGUCGGUGGAAACUGGCGGGCUGGAGGACGGUAGAGGGGGGUGGAAUUCCCGGUGUAGUGGUGAAAUGCGUAGAGAUCGGGAGGAACAUCAGUGGCGAAAGCGACUUCCUGGACCAAUACUGACGCUCAUGUGCGAAAGCGUGGGGAGCAAACAGG